UGGCGGACGGGGGAGUAACGCGUGGGUAACCUGCCUCACACUGGGGGACAACAGUUAGAAAUGACUGCUAAUACCGCAUAAGCGCACAGGACCGCAUGGUCCGGUGUGAAAAACUCCGGUGGUGUGAGAUGGACCCGCGUUUGAUUAGCUAGUUGGUGGGGUAACGGCCUACCAAGGCGACGAUCAAUAGCCGACCUGAGAGGGUGACCGGCCACAUUGGGACUGAGACACGGCCCAA
Molecule: ribosomal RNA, 238 nt
Filed under: uncultured bacterium
Lineage: Bacteria
Description: partial 16S ribosomal RNA
Rfam family: Bacterial small subunit ribosomal RNA
Source: RNAcentral